UGGAUUGUAGCUCAAUUAGAGCAUUUAGUUGUUAACUAAAAGGUUGUGGGGUAAGAACCUACUUGUCCAG
This 70-nucleotide transfer RNA is filed under the name Microcaecilia unicolor. It matches the Rfam family "tRNA". Rfam says of the family: Transfer RNA (tRNA) molecules are approximately 80 nucleotides in length. Their secondary structure includes four short double-helical elements and three loops (D, anti-codon, and T loops). The record is from Rfam by way of RNAcentral. Lineage: Eukaryota; Metazoa; Chordata; Amphibia; Gymnophiona; Siphonopidae.